Molecule: ribosomal RNA, 253 nt
Filed under: uncultured bacterium
Lineage: Bacteria
Description: partial 16S ribosomal RNA
Rfam family: Bacterial small subunit ribosomal RNA
Source: RNAcentral
UACGGAGGGUGCGAGCGUUGUCCGGAAUCACUGGGCGUAAAGGGCGCGUAGGCGGCAUGCCAAGCGUGUGGUGAAAGCCCGGGGCUCAACCCCGGGUCGGCCGUGCGGACUGGCAUGCUCGAGCACUGUAGGGGCGGGUGGAAUUCCGGGUGUAGCGGUGGAAUGCGCAGAUAUCGGGAGGAACACCGGUGGCGAAGGCGGUUCUCUGGGCCUUACCUGACGCUGAGGAGCGAAAGCGUGGGGAGCGAACAGG